RNAcentral lists this long non-coding RNA (1298 nucleotides) under Capsella rubella. RNAcentral's name for it is "long non-coding RNA (CRUB_LNC000948)". The record is from RNAcentral. Lineage: Eukaryota; Viridiplantae; Streptophyta; Magnoliopsida; Brassicales; Brassicaceae.
CGCACUGGUGUCGACUGUCACCCCCACAGCGAUGAUCUGGUGUCGAUCGACGCUGGCUCCACGUAGCUACUGGUGUCGACCAACAUCCACCUAGUGUCGAUCGUCAUUGGCUCCGCAAAUGCCCCAUAAUCACCUCUUCUCCCAAUGCAUCCAAACACAAAUCCUAACAUCAAUCAUGCAAUACACAACACCAAUCUCAGAGAAACAAACACACAAUCAAAACCCGAAUCCAUUUACACAAUCUAAACACACAUCAUAAAGGUUCACAAGUUUAGAUUAGCAAUAGACACGCUCUCGCCUUUGAUUUGGUUUGAUUGGGAGACAUAAAUAGGAAGAACACAAAAAGAGUAGAGCCUUCUCACACAAAUCUCCUCAACUCUUUGCCCAAACACACAACAACUACCCUCAAACACCUCUAGAACGCCUCCAUAAACUUUUUCUGAAGCCUCAACUUUCAUCUCCUUAAAAUCACACAAGCUAAACAUUUUGUCCUUUUCUCUUUAGAAAUAACAAAACUCUCAAAAAAAAAAAAAAAAAAAAAAGAAAAAAAGAAGAGAGGUUGCUUGAACUUUUAUCAUAGACUCAAGGGUUUUGUUUUAACCCAAUUCACUUAAACUAACAAUUAAGCCCAAACCACCAAACUACCAAAAUUGAUGGUGUCGAUGGACAACAAGGACGGUACAUAUCAUCACAUAAUCAAACAACAACAUCACCGUUAUACAUAUCAUCAAUCAAUCAUAUUAUCACAUAAACUUAUCCUACACAAUCGAAUCUUUACCUACAUGCUUCAAGUGAAGAAACAUAACCAAAAAAAAAAAAAAAGCAUGUUCUGAAGAAGCCACUUUGGUUCCGUUUUCAUAUGUUUUAUUAAUUUGGCCAGUUUCACCUGUUUCUUGCGCAAAAAGCAACGUGAAUAACUCCUCGAUCUCAACUCCGAUUCAGACACUGUCAGUUUCUGUAUCUUCUAAGACAAAAGAUCUAUUCUAGAUCCACCAUGUUUUCUGAUCUUACCUCUGAUCUGGCAAGAAACUCUUCUUCUUUUCUCUUCUUGCUUCUUCGCUUCUGAUUUGCUUCGCCUCUCUCAAUUCUUCAUAUUCAUGGUUGUGAUCAUCUCUUCUCCUCGGCAACGUCCUCGGCCUCCAUCCCCACUUACUUCUUCUAUUUCUCCGACCUGGUCUUGGCUAGCUCCUUGUCUCCAGUGGUUUGUUAACUGCGAUCAAAAACCUUCUCUAUCCUUUGGUGUCUUGGGUGCUGUUUUUAGGGUUUAGUUUUGGGUUUCUCUUUGACAGCUAAGGAAG